Molecule: unclassified non-coding RNA, 1412 nt
Organism: Orbicella faveolata
Lineage: Eukaryota; Metazoa; Cnidaria; Anthozoa; Scleractinia; Merulinidae
Source: RefSeq, a predicted model, not a curated record
UUUCAAGCUGGAGAAACUCCACUCCACAGUUUUUUUUACAAUUUUGCACAUGCAUUCCGCUUUUGCUGUAGAAUAUUUUUAUGCAUUAAAAAUGUAGGGUCACAAGAUCACUUUUUGAGAUAUUAGCUUCGUGGAUAAGGUAUUUUAGCGCGAUUUCUAUGCACAAAUUAAAAUCUCGACUUUGCAAGAUCGCCCCUUGUGCACGUGUGAAGGUGGUCUGCUGAUCAGUAAAGCCUGCAAUUCUAUGCGAAUAAAUGCGAAUAGUCCAUAAAUAGUGUUUUCUUUGUCGCUGUUCUCAUUAGUAGCAUGAGUGGUAAAAGAAGAGUACCAUAAAUACCUGGAGGUGAGACUAGCCAGUACAAAGAACGAAGAAAACCUGAAGAGUAGUUUUUUCCUGCUGUUAGAUUGAUAGCCGGUGCGAUCGAUCUUAACAUCAACAUCACAAUUUUCGUUUACGUUCUGGCACAAAGGUUGAAGAAGAUGUUUUUUCCUUUGAAAAUGCCUGAAGGGUGGAUGUUUUCGAAGUUAAAAAUAACUGAUAAUGCAAACAGCUCACUAAACUUGGCAGAAACAAAGUUUUACAAAGUAGGCCUUGUGCCGCCAUGUUUGUUUUGAUUUUUGUAAACUUUAAACCUUGAGUGCUAUCUCGCGAACCCUUGGGUGAUCGUAUGAUGCCUCACGUUUUGAGCCACCUUAAGCUCAUAAUAUAUAACGGUAAAUUUCAGUCUUUUCACAGACCCUCUCAUUUGUUUUUGGGAAAGACAAAAAUAGAGGGUCUGUGGAUUCUUUUGAGAAACUGAAUUUUUCAUUUCUCCAGGUCUUAGGGUCUUUGUUUUCGUGUUUUGGGGUCCUUGAUCUUAGGUCUUUGUUUUUGGGGUCUUCGUUUUCUUCACUACUGUAUUGGUGGUGUGUCCAUUUACCUUGAAAAAUUUGGAAAAUUAAUAAAUACAAAUAUCCAAAAUUUUGUGAUUGCUCUUCACUAAAAGUUGAUUUCUUUAAUCGUGUCUAUAGUGCCUGGGCACAAGUUUUGUAAAUUCAUGAUCAAAAAGGUAACAAACAGAAUUCUUGCUAGACAAAAUGUACAUGUAAGUCCAUUAUAUGGCCGUGGAAUAAAAUUUGUUCAAUAGAACACUAAUAGAAUCAAAAAUAUCAUUCUGCUGGAUUGUUUGAAAUUAUUUUCAUUAUAAUGUGCAUUUCUUUACAUGUAUGUUUAAAUGUAGAUCUUGUCUCAUACUACAAAGCAGUUUGUAAGCCAGGAAGGGUCUUUAGCAAACUCCCAGGAACUCAUAAAACAGUCUGGAAAAAUCAUAGCAGACAUGGAAUCACAGUUUGCUGAUAUUCAACAUAGUAUGCAGACAGUUAACACUAUCAGUGAACACUUGGAGCCAAUAUGGAGAUGACACAAUGGACAA